This 426-nucleotide ribosomal RNA is filed under the name uncultured bacterium. RNAcentral describes it as "partial 16S ribosomal RNA". It matches the Rfam family "Bacterial small subunit ribosomal RNA", at positions 354 to 796 of the family's 1533-position model. The record is from RNAcentral.
GUGAGGAAUUUUCCGCAAUGGGCGAAAGCCUGACGGAGCAAUGCCGCGUGAAGGAUGAAGGCCUAUGGGUUGUAAACUUCUUUUCUCAGAAAAGAAUUAUGACGGUAUCUGAGGAAUAAGCAUCGGCUAACUCUGUGCCAGCAGCCGCGGUAAGACAGAGGAUGCAAGCGUUAGCCGGAAUGAUUGGGCGUAAAGCGUCUGUAGGUUGUUUAAAAAGUAUUCUGUCAAAGAUUAGGGCUUAACCCUAGAUAGGCAGAAUAAACUUUUAAGCUAGAGUUUGGUAGGGGCAGGGGGAGUUCCCGGUGGAGCGGUGAAAUGCGUAGAUAUCGGGAGGAACACCAAAGGCGAAGGCACUCUGCUGGGCCAAUACUAACACUGAGGGACGAAAGCGAGGGGAGCAAAUGGGAUUAGAUACCCCAGUAGUCC